Molecule: unclassified non-coding RNA, 307 nt
Filed under: uncultured fungus
Lineage: Eukaryota; Fungi
Description: partial contains small subunit ribosomal RNA, internal transcribed spacer 1, and 5.8S ribosomal RNA
Rfam family: Eukaryotic small subunit ribosomal RNA (bases 1-73)
Source: RNAcentral
GCAAACUUGGUCAUUUAGAGGAAGUAAAAGUCGUAACAAGGUCUCCGUUGGUGAACCAGCGGAGGGAUCAUUACCGAGUUAUCUACUCAAAACCCAUUGUGAACCUUACCAUAACGUUGUUGCUUUGGUGGGCGGUUUCUUUCUUUUAGACUGAAGCCCUCUGGCAUCCUUCGGGAAGUGUCCACCAACAGCGCCAUACUCUGUUGCUAUUGUCUAGUUUUAUUAUCUGAUUUUAUGCAUACAAGCAAAAAUGCUAAAAACUUUCAACAACGGAUCUCUUGGCUGUGGCAUCGAUGAAGAACGCAGC